GUAACCUGCCCUUAAGACCGGGAUAACUCACGGAAACGUGGGCUAAUACCGGAUAGGCGAUUUCCUCGCAUGAGGGAAUCGGGAAAGGCGGAGCAAUCUGCCACUUAUGGAUGGACCUACGGCGCAGUAGCUAGUUGGUGGGGUAACGGCUCACCAAGGCGACGAUGCGUAGCCGACCUGAGAGGGUGAUCGGCCACACUGGGACUGAGACACGGCCCAGACUCCUACGGGAGGCAGCAGUAGGGAAUCUUCCGCAAUGGACGCAAGUCUGACGGAGCAACGCCGCGUGAGUGAUGAAGGUUUUCGGAUCGUAAAGCUCUGUUGCCAGGGAAGAACGCUAUGGAGAGUAACUGUUCCAUAGGUGACGGUACCUGAGAAGAAAGCCCCGGCUAACUACGUGCCAGCAGCCGCGGUAAUACGUAGGGGGCAAGCGUUGUCCGGAAUUAUUGGGCGUAAAGCGCGCGCAGGCGGUCAUGUAAGUCUGGUGUUUAAACCCGGGGCUCAACUCCGGGUCGCAUCGGAAACUGUGUGACUUGAGUGCAGAAGAGGAAAGUGGAAUUCCACGUGUAGCGGUGAAAUGCGUAGAGAUGUGGAGGAACACCAGUGGCGAAGGCGACUUUCUGGGCUGUAACUGACGCUGAGGCGCGAAGCGUGGGGAGCAACAGGAUUAGAUACCCUGGUAGUCACGCCGUAACGAUGAAGCUAGUGUUAGGGGUUCGAUACCCUGGUGCCGAAUUACACAUUAACAUUCCCCUGGGGAGUACGUCGCAGACUGAACUCAAGGAUUGACGGGACCGCACAGCAUGGAGAUGUGGUUAAUU
RNAcentral lists this ribosomal RNA (821 nucleotides) under Paenibacillus dendritiformis. RNAcentral describes it as "bacterial SSU rRNA". It matches the Rfam family "Bacterial small subunit ribosomal RNA", at positions 121 to 950 of the family's 1533-position model. The record is from RNAcentral. Lineage: Bacteria; Bacillati; Bacillota; Bacilli; Caryophanales; Paenibacillaceae.